Molecule: small nuclear RNA, 106 nt
Filed under: Castor canadensis (American beaver)
Lineage: Eukaryota; Metazoa; Chordata; Mammalia; Rodentia; Castoridae
Source: RNAcentral
GUGCUCGCUUCAGCAGCACAUGCACUGAAAGUGGAACGACCCAGAGAAGACUGGCAUGGCCCUGUGCAAGGAUGACACACAAAUUCAUGAAGCCUUCCACAUUUUA